RNAcentral lists this ribosomal RNA (554 nucleotides) under Galeodea echinophora. RNAcentral describes it as "partial 12S ribosomal RNA". The record is from RNAcentral. Lineage: Eukaryota; Metazoa; Mollusca; Gastropoda; Littorinimorpha; Cassidae.
AGAGAUCAAAUUAUACAUAUUAGGUAAAAAGGUAGUUAAAUAUUAUAAAAUUAUUAAUUUAAUGAUUUUUUAUAUAUAGGUAAAAUUUAUAUAUAAUUAAAUAAGCCUGUAUAAAUUAAUUAUAUUGAUUCUGCGAUACCCAAGAGGGAAACUGGGAUUAGAUACCCCAUUAUUCUUGGUUGUAAAUAAACAUAAGUUUACCGGAGUACUACGAAUCUCAUACUAAAAAUUUAAAACUCAAAGAGCUUGGCGGUGUUCUAGACCUCUCAGGGGAACCUGUCUCAUAAUCGACAAUCCGCGUUACACCUAACCUUUUUUUGCAUAACAGUUUGUAUACCGUCGUCGUCAGGUAACUUUUUAGAAAAUAGAAGUUGGCAAAAAAAUUUUAUUAAAUUUAAACGUCAGAUCAAGGUGCAGCCUAUAUAAAGGUGAAGAUGGGUUACAAUUAAAAAUUAUAAUUAUGGAUAAAAUAAUGAAAUAUUUAUUUUAAUGAAGGAGGACUUGAAAGUAAAAUAAAUUUAUAUAAACUCUUUGAAUUAGGCUCUGAAACAUGC